GAUGAACGCUGACAGAAUGCUUAACACAUGCAAGUCUACUUGAAUUUGGGUUUUUUAACUUAGAUUUGGGUGGCGGACGGGUGAGUAACGCGUAAAGAACUUGCCUCACAGCUAGGGACAACAUUUGGAAACGAAUGCUAAUACCUGAUAUUAUGAUUAUAAGGCAUCUUAGAAUUAUGAAAGCUAUAUGCGCUGUGAGAGAGCUUUGCGUCCCAUUAGCUAGUUGGAGAGGUAACGGCUCACCAAGGCGAUGAUGGGUAGCCGGCCUGAGAGGGUGAACGGCCACAAGGGGACUGAGACACGGCCCUUACUCCUACGGGAGGCAACAGUGGGGAAUAUUGGACAAUGGACCAAGAGUCUGAUCCAGCAAUUCUGUGUGCACGAUGACGUUUUACGGAAUGUAAAGUGCUUUCAGUUGGGAAGAAAAAAAUGACGGUACCAACAGAAGAAGUGACGGCUAAAUACGUG
RNAcentral lists this ribosomal RNA (468 nucleotides) under uncultured bacterium. RNAcentral's name for it is "partial 16S ribosomal RNA". It matches the Rfam family "Bacterial small subunit ribosomal RNA", at positions 28 to 507 of the family's 1533-position model. The record is from RNAcentral.